Molecule: small nucleolar RNA, 64 nt
Organism: Physella acuta
Lineage: Eukaryota; Metazoa; Mollusca; Gastropoda; Physidae
Product: small nucleolar RNA SNORD58
Source: RefSeq, a predicted model, not a curated record
UUGCGCUGAUGACUACUUAGGACACCAUUGAUUUGUCUAUGAAAUUUUAAAAUCUCUGAGCAAU